Molecule: long non-coding RNA, 1063 nt
Organism: Balaenoptera acutorostrata (minke whale)
Lineage: Eukaryota; Metazoa; Chordata; Mammalia; Artiodactyla; Balaenopteridae
Exons: 3
Source: RefSeq, a predicted model, not a curated record
AGAAGGUGGUGCCGCGGAGAUCCAGCGCCAGGACCUGCGCCCUCGGGUGUGGGUGUUCCUGGCGGACUUGGCGAGGUGGCCGGAGAGGGAGGGUCCGACGGGGCGGGCGCAGAGUCCAUCUUGUGCAGGGCAGCGACCCCACAUCAAAAUCGCCGCGAUUUCCCAGUCAGGUCAGAUCACGCAGAGCUGGGCGUUAAUUUGUAACAAAGUCGUUUCGGGGUGGACUGUUAGUGUGAGAGGAGAUGUAAACGAGCCUCGUGGACGUUAAAAGACGCAGUUACCUCAUUUAGCCUCGACAAAACAAGUGUGCUGCCCAGAACAGUGCUCUGUAAUUGCCCGACCCAUCCCCAGAACUGCCCCAUUCUCACAGGAUAAACAAACACAGGGAAAUUGUUCUAUAAAAGCAAAAACGUCCUAAUGUGCGUAGGACGUAUGUCGCUCUGAAGUUAUUCGCUAUUGACCCUGACUAGUCUAGGAAACUGGGGGAAAGAAGCUAAAUGCAGCAGCAGCAGCAUGAAAAUGAAAAUAGUUUAAAAUGAAUGAGUGUGUGGACCUAACGCCAGUCCAAGGUGUUCAAUGCAGCCACCAGAGCCAGAAUAUUCAAAUGAACUUUGCUAAAGGAUAACCUAAAAGAAUUUUCCACUAUGAGAGCCUGACAUAGUUCAUUCACCUUUAAUAAAUGAAGCAGGGCUUCCCUGGUGGCACAGUGGUUAAGAAUCCGCCUGCCAAUGCAGGGGACACAGGUUCGAGCCCUGGUCCGGGAAGAUCCCACAUGCCGGGGAGCAACUAAGCCCGUGCACCACAACUACUGAGCCUGCGCUCUAGAGCCCGCGAGCCACAACUACUGAAGCCCGCACGCCUAGAGCCCAUGCUCCGCAACAAGAGAAGCGCCGCAAUGAGAAGCCCGCACACCGCAACAAGAGUAACCCCUGCUCGACGCAACUAAAGAAAGCCUGCACGCAACAACGAAGACCCAACGCAGCCAUAAAUAAAUAAAUAUAAUACAUAAAUAAAUUUAUUUAAAAAAUAAAAAAUAAAUGAAGCAGUGAUGCCAAUUCAAAAA